AUACGGAGGGUGCAAGCGUUACUCGGAAUCACUGGGCGUAAAGCGCGCGCAGGCGGCUAUUUAAGUUGGAUGUGAAAGUCUACGGCUCAACCGUAGAACUGCAUCCAAAACUAUUUAGCUAGAGUGUGGGAGAGGAAGAUGGAAUUAGUUGUGUAGGGGUAAAAUCCGUAGAGAUAACUAGGAAUACCAAAAGCGAAGGCAAUCUUCUGGAACACUACUGACGCUGAGGCGCGAAAGCGUGGGGAGCAUACAGGAUUAGAAACCCUAGUAGUCC
This 274-nucleotide ribosomal RNA is filed under the name uncultured bacterium. Its description in RNAcentral is "partial 16S ribosomal RNA". It matches the Rfam family "Bacterial small subunit ribosomal RNA", at positions 523 to 796 of the family's 1533-position model. The record is from RNAcentral.